UGGUGGAGUGAUUUGUCUGGUUAAUUCCGUUAACGAACGAGACCUCGACCUGCUAAAUAGUAUCCGCGACCUCUCGUCGCGAGGCACUUCUUAGAGGGACUAUCGGUGUGUAGCCGAUGGAAGUUCGAGGCAAUAACA
RNAcentral lists this ribosomal RNA (138 nucleotides) under uncultured eukaryote. Its description in RNAcentral is "partial 18S ribosomal RNA". It matches the Rfam family "Eukaryotic small subunit ribosomal RNA", at positions 1299 to 1458 of the family's 1831-position model. The record is from RNAcentral.